GAUGAACGCUGGCGGCGUGCCUAAUACAUGCAAGUCGAGCGAACAGACGAGGAGCUUGCUCCUCUGACGUUAGCGGCGGACGGGUGAGUAACACGUGGAUAACCUACCUAUAAGACUGGGAUAACUUCGGGAAACCGGAGCUAAUACCGGAUAACAUGUUGAACCGCAUGGUUCAACAGUGAAAGACGGUCUUGCUGUCACUUAUAGAUGGAUCCGCGCCGCAUUAGCUAGUUGGUAAGGUAACGGCUUACCAAGGCAACGAUGCGUAGCCGACCUGAGAGGGUGAUCGGCCACACUGGAACUGAGACACGGUCCAGACUCCUACGGGAGGCAGCAGUAGGGAAUCUUCCGCAAUGGGCGAAAGCCUGACGGAGCAACGCCGCGUGAGUGAAGAAGGUCUUCGGAUCGUAAAACUCUGUUAUUAGGGAAGAACAAAUGUGUAAGUAACGAUGCACGUCUGGACGGUACCUAAGCAGAAAGCCACGGCUAACUACGU
This 496-nucleotide ribosomal RNA is filed under the name uncultured bacterium. RNAcentral describes it as "partial 16S ribosomal RNA". It matches the Rfam family "Bacterial small subunit ribosomal RNA", at positions 28 to 506 of the family's 1533-position model. The record is from RNAcentral.